Molecule: long non-coding RNA, 1289 nt
Organism: Gasterosteus aculeatus aculeatus (three-spined stickleback)
Lineage: Eukaryota; Metazoa; Chordata; Actinopteri; Perciformes; Gasterosteidae
Source: Ensembl
GAGGAGGAAUGAAGAGUGUGACCGGCGAGAACGAUAUGUGCAAGAGUGCUCAAUAAAAAUAAUUGUUAAACCGAACAAUCCGUGUCGCUGCUUUCUACGUCCCAGAUUCACGGGGUAACGCAGAACACGUUACAAUCAAUGAAGUUAGAUGCUGAUACGCCUUAAGGAUUAGAUCGUGAGCACAUGCACUGUAUAGGAGAUGAAGAUGGGAAAGAUGGACUCACAAGAAACAUUAUGAUAAAAAAAAGAGAAGUAGGCUGACAAGAAUGUUCAAAUAUCCCAACUUCCUUUCCGAUAAGGCCCUGUCUCCGUCACUGCCAAGCAACUGACAAAGCUGACAACCUUGGACCACUGUUAAUCAUCAGAUACAGUAAUGGGAAGAUUGACUGGAAAUUUGUGCUACAACAUACCCUGAAGCGUACUUACCCACCAGAGCUUAAGAGAAGAAGCUGACUGCCUCCUGUAUUGUUUUUGGGAAGCUCGCCUCUGCAUAAACACGGCCAGAAACUGCGGUGUCUUUCCUUUAUGGCAAGUUGGGCAUCUUCAUCUCUUUUGGGGAAAUUACCUCAAAGAAAUUGUUCAUUGUGCAGCAGUCACAUCUCACAAAAACUACACACUUCAAAUAGUUGUAUUGUCUACGUGAAUUUGUGUUUGAACUCAUGCAGAGCCGGCUGUGUCUAAGCAUUAUUGUGUAUGUGUUAGUGGAUUUGAUAGAGAAUCACGGUGUGCUCACUCCAAUCAAUAUUUCAUUAAUAUAUGAAAAGGGGAGGAGCACAGAAAAGACAAUUGCUGAAAUUUGCUCAAUAUCAUUCUAGGCCACAAUACGGCCCAGGAGUGCAAACACUCUCCAUGCCGUGUAGUCGCCUCCUGCAGCUCAGCUCCUUUGGAUCAAGGUUGCGGGUGUUCUGCUUGGCAAACAUCUCAUUACAAGCUAUUUUUUACACAUUUAAGUUUACCACUAUUCCAAUUAGUCUAAAGGAAAGCUUUUCCCAGGUAAUGUUGUCAACUUCAUUUGAACAAAAACAUGUAAAAAUAAAAAGUACCACUUGACAUGGCUGUUCUAAUAAGUCUAUGUGUUACCAACUCAGUACUUCAUUUAAGUGUAUAAUGAUUUCCCCUAACAGUUUAACAGGGGGGGCGGGGUGCCCCUCCCCCUUGAAAAAGUUUGGAAUAAAACAAAAAAAAAGGUGCAGCGUCCAGAUUGGCUGGCUUGAAGCAUUAAGCAUAUACUGAGAGCGAUGGAGCAAAGACAAACAGGUGGGGACAGAUCGCCAUUGUCAAGUAGUGAC